RNAcentral lists this long non-coding RNA (4737 nucleotides) under Salmo salar (Atlantic salmon). RNAcentral's name for it is "lncRNA (ENSSSAG00000106208.1)". The record is from RNAcentral. Lineage: Eukaryota; Metazoa; Chordata; Actinopteri; Salmoniformes; Salmonidae.
CUCUGUGACCCUCCCUAACGUCACCUCUGUGACCUCCCUAACGUCACCUCUGUGACUAUGUCUGCGUCCCAAAUGGAACAUUUUCCUCUAUAAAGGCCACAACUUUUGACCAGAGCCUUAUGGGUAAAUGCCAUUUGGGACGAUUCUCUUGUAUGUGUGCUUGUGACUGAUGGAUUGACUAGCAGAGACUGAGUCUGAGUACCACUGUCAGAUAAGUAUGUGUCAGAUAGUUACUGUGUUGAAUAGUGUAAUGUUCUGGUUACAUGUGUAACAUACAGGGUAUGUAGUGUCAGGUACUUGAUCAGAUGCUUAGCUAAGAAAGUGUGUGGGAUGCUACUGCCUCCACGUUGUUGUUGUUGUUGUUGAUGUUGUUGUUUUUAACCAAGUCGAACUGUUGCCAUGAUAUGCUAUUACUUGGUUACGCACCGGAAUCUGGCGUUUCUAUUGAAUUAUGCUCUUUUUCUAGAAAGGACCAUGACUGUUACCCUAGCAACCCAUCGAUGCUAUUUAGAGGGCGUUACAUGUAAUGAAAGAUUGAACGGUGUUGAGAAUAUGUUCAAAUUGAAGCAAUACAUCCUAGUAUUGUUGUUCUAUCAGCCAUAUUACCCUGCACUGUGACACCAGCUAGCCGAGGCAGCUCUGGAGGCUGUCCCCUGACCCCUGUCUCCUCCACUCUCCUGGAGGCUGACCCCUGACCCCUGUCUCCACUCUUCUGGAGGCUUACCCCUGUCUCCUGCACUCUCUUGGAGGCUGACCCCUGUCUCCUCCACUCUCCUGGAGGCUUACCCCUGUCUCCUCCACUCUCCUGGAGGCUGACCCCUGUCUCCUCCACUCUCCUGGAGGCUGACCCCUGUCUCCUCCACUCUCCUGGAGGCUGACCCCUGUCUCCUCCACUCUCCUGGAGGCUGACCCCUGAACCCUGUCUCCUCCACUCUUCUGAAGGCUUACCCCUGUCUCCUGCACUCUCCUGGAGGCUGACCCCUGACCUCUCCACUCUCCUGGAGGCUGACCCCUGUUUCCUCCAAUCUCCUUUAGGCUGACCCCUGUCUCCUCCACUCUCCUGGAGGCUGACCCCUGACCCCUCCACUCUCCUGGAUGGCUAACUCCUGACCCCCGUCUCCUCCACUCUCCUGGAGGCUGACUCCUGACCCCUGUCUCCUCCACUCUCCUGGAGGCUGACUCCUGACCCCUGUCUCCUCCACUCUCCUGGAGGCUGACUCCUGACCCCUGUCUCCUCCACUCUCCUGGAGGCUGAGCCCUGUCUCCUCCAAUCUCCUGGAGGCUGACCCCUGUCUCCUCCACUCUCCUGGAGGCUGACCCCUGUCUCCUCCAAUCUCCUGGAGGCUGACCCCUGUCUCCUCCACUCUCCUGGAGGCUGACCCCUCUCUCCUCCACUCUCCUGGAGGCUGACCCCUGACCCCUCCACUCUCCAGGACCAAGUAAAGCUUUAAGAGACAUCUCCUUUAGUGUAGUUCUAGUGUUGCUGCAGCCAGGCUUCCAGAAUUAGCGGCACAUUCCAAAUGACCUGAACAUUCCAGAUAUGAGCCUGGCGUUGUCCUCUGUCUGCCUCAAUAUCCCAGGUGGGGUUGUCAUACUGUAGGCGACAUAUAGAGAGAGAUAUGAGGUGAGAGAGUUGAUUGAUUCCAUGCUUUUGUAGUCUGAUUGUCAGUCUGUGUUUGACAGUUAAAGAACGAUUGGCUGAGUUUCUAUCCCUUUAUAAUGAAAAGGUCUUACUACCAUCUCUAACGAGGCUCAGCAGUUUUAGCCGAAUGCUUUCCAAAACAUCACAACGUGCCUGAACUUCUCUGUCUUUUUUUUUAUUACUAAAUGGAAUGUCAAUUGUUUCAAAUACCUUUUAAUCAUCAUGAACUUUUCCAUUGAGCUAACAAGCCUUUAUAAGUCAUUGUUUCCCCCAGUCUCAGUGAGUGUAGCGCUGAUGGACACUGUGUCUGCUGUUGGUGUGUUUUCAUGCCAUUUAGCAGAGGCUUUUAUUCAAACCACGAAGUGAUGUAUGCAUUCUUUAUGUGUGGAUGGUCACGGGAGUCAAACCCACUAUCCUGUUGUUGCAAGUGUCAUGCUCUACCAACUGACCUACAGAGGACCAGUGUAUUGUUAGGGAGUUUAGUCUGUAAGGGCAAAACCAGCUGGCUGACUGACCAGGGAGGAAUAAGAUGACCUUCUGUCUAACCUCUGACCUCUCCAACCCAGCUCUCCCACAGACAGGCUGACGUGUGUGUGUGUGUGUGUGUGUGUGUGUGUGUGUGUGUGUGUGUGUGUGUGUGUGUGUGUGUGUGUGUGUGUGUGUGUGUGUGUGUGUGUGUGUGUGUGUGUUCUCCAUCAACACAUCUUCCAACAGCCCUAACCAGUAGGAAAGCUCAAUAUUCACUUUAGUUUUGACCACAACUCUGUCACGCUUGCUCAAGUCACCCCUUAGUUAGCACUGAUCUAGGAUCAGCUUACACUCCCCAUAUCCAAACCUAAACCAUUAGUGGAGGGGGACUCUAAACAGACCGUAGCUCAGUGUCUGGGAGAAACUCCACUUUUCCCUGAACAUGUUGAUACUUUAGCAGGACUAGUAGUAACUAUGACUACAUCCUUUAGUAGCAGUGAGCCAAGCAGCUCUACAGCCAGGUGAGUUAGAGAGACAUCAUGUAGCUGUCUAUGCACUUUGACCUCUGGGAUAUCCAGAGGGUAGAAUAGCCAUAUUGAGGUCUCAGUGAUGCCCGGUUCAAUACACCAGCGAGACUCUGUGUGACUGACUGUUUCUCUGUAGAGAGACUGACUGCAUGGCAGUGACUGUUUCUCUGUAGAGACUGACUGCAUGGCAGCGACUGUUUCUCUGUAGAGAGACUGACUGCAUGGCAGUGACUGUUUCUCUGUAGAGACUGACUGCAUGGCAGUGACUGUUUCUCUGUAGAGACUGACUGCAUGGCAGUGACUGUUUCUCUGUAGAGACUGACUGCAUGGCAGUGACUGUUUCUCUGUAGAGACUGACUGCAUGGCAGUGACUGUUUCUCUGUAGAGACUGACUGCAUGGCAGUGACUGUUUCUCUGUAGAGACUGACUGCAUGGCAGUGACUGUUUCUCUGUAGAGAGUGACUGCAUGGCAGUGACUGUUUCUCUGUAGAGACUGACUGCAUGGCAGUGACUGUUUCCCUGUAGAGACUGACUGCAUGGCAGUGACUGUGCCUAAUGGUGGGGCUCCACAGGGUGCUCCUUAAAAAGCUUUAAACAUGUACCUUUCAGAUGUCUGUUACUACAACAUUGUUCAGCUCCAGUUUGGCUCACUGUGAAAGGUAGCUAACUAAAUGAAUAAGGUCAACUUGAAACAUGCAUUCGCUUUUUCUCCAGUGUGUUGCACAAAGGUUUUGUAGAAAGGCUCGGACAGUGGGUUUGAGAGGUGUGAUAAUAACUGAUCUUAUGAAAGGUUGAACAUGUAUUAAGGCCUUCCUGUAUUACAAAAAAGUGAAACACCUACAAAGCGCCUUAUUUCAUCAACUUUGUAUUUUCUUUUGAAUCUCUAAACGUUGUGGCUUAUUACUUUCACCAACUACUUGAGUAUUUAACUGUUCUGAAAUAAAACAUGUUGCAUCAUGGGGAAUAUAUGGCAUUGACCUCAACAUAUUCAACUGGAAUUGUUGUUUGAUGUUUUGUUGGAAUGACAGCUAAUAGUCUGGUGUUUCUAACAGUGGACAGACACAGGUCAAGCAUAAGGAAGACAGGUUAGUCUGACUGUACAGGCAGACAUAAGAGACAGGUUAGUCUGACUGUACAGGCAGACAUAAGAGACAGGUUAGUCUAACUGUACAGGCAGACAUAAGAGACAGGUUAGUCUAACUGUACAGGCAGACAUAAGAGACAGGUUAGUCUGACUGUACAGGCAGACAUAAGAGACAGGUUAGUCUAACUGUACAGGCAGACAUAAGCGACAGGUUAGUCUAACUGUACAGGCAGACAUAAGCGACAGGUUAGUCUAACUGUACAGGCAGACAUAAGAGACAGGUUAGUCUAACUGUACAGGCAGACAUAAGAGACAGGUUAGUCUGACUGUACAGGCAGACAUAAGAGACAGGUUAGUCUAACUGUACAGGCAGACAUAAGAGACAGGUUAGUCUAACUGUACAGGCAGACAUAAGAGACAUGUUAGUCUAACUGUACAGGCAGACAUAAGAGACAGGUUAGUCUAACUGUACAGGCAGACAUAAGAGACAGGUUAGUCUAACUGUACAGGCAGACAUAAGAGACAUGUUAGUCUAACUGUACAGGCAGACAUAAGAGACAGGUUUGUGAGUUCAGGAUGAGUGUCUGUGGGUUUCUGGGAGAGAGGUGGAGGACAAUGCCUGCACAUUAAUACAAGUAUAAAUGUAUCAUUUUAAAUAUAAAACUAUAAAUAUUGUAUAGAAUGUCAUUCAUUUUUAUAAUCUUGACUGUACAUGUAAUGCAACCACCUUUCUUUUUGAAAGGAGUCUUUGAUGUUUUGUACAUGUAUGUAAAUGAUGUUUGCUUAGCAGUUGUUUGCAGCCUUCUCAAUGUAUGUUCGUCAAGGUUCAUUUCCGCGCUUCGAUACGUGUCCACGGUUUAUUAUACGUCAUGGAUUGAUGAAUUCAUAAUUGCCUGCAUAACUUUGUACAUGUUUGUGUCUCUCAUCACAGCAUAUUGUAUGGUCUGCGUUUUGUUUAGCAGUUGUACAGAUGUUACAUAUCACUGCGGCUACAUUACAGUAGGAGAAUAAAGCAC